Molecule: long non-coding RNA, 1044 nt
Filed under: Rattus norvegicus (Norway rat)
Lineage: Eukaryota; Metazoa; Chordata; Mammalia; Rodentia; Muridae
Description: long non-coding RNA NONRATT011471
Source: RNAcentral
UAGUCUUAUUUGCCUCAGUCUUGCCAGAUAAACCUAAAAUAGGAACAACAAAAACAAAUAUUUACUUAAAAGAAACACUAUGAACAUUUUUACUGCUAAAAAAAUUAUAGAAAAGUGUUAAUCUGAAUACAAGAAACAAAAGUUCUGAAAUUUGGUUAAUGAAAUGAAAUAUUAGCUUUCAAGUAUUUAAAGGAAUUUAUUUCUGCAAAGAAAGAAAUGUUAUAAUUACAAAAUUUUAAAUUAUAUCAAAAGAAAAGAAAUUGAAACUCAGAAGACUGAGUAACAGUUAUGGGGCAAAAUUAUGACACAGCAUGUCAGUCAAAAUAUAUUAACAGGUUCCUAUAGACUUAACAAAAUCUUAAAAUAAUUGUUAAGCAUUUAAAUCAUGCAAGAAAAGAAGGCGAUAAACUUAAAAAUGGCUGCGUGGCGGAGGUGCUGAGCAUGCGGAAAGCAUACCUCUUCCUCCUUGUUCCUGGGCUUCCCUCCUCUUGAAGAGCUGGGCCUGCCUCCAUAUAGAGAUGCCAGGUUUUGCAGGAUUCCCUGUUUGUCAUUUAAUGUGCUAAGUUUAAAGAAUGCAUGGGGCUACAUUGCCUGCUAUCCAGGCACAUCCACAUGCCACUUAUUUCUUUUAGAUUAUGCUGGCCAUUUCUAGAUACCACUGAAGAAGUUUUGGCACUUCCCGUGGCCAUGUUGGCAUGUAAACUCAGCAAGAACAGAAGCCAUCAACUCCAAGUAUAAUUACUUAAGUACAGAGACUGCAAAUGCUGUUAUAGUCAUUAAAGACUGUACGAGUGUUUUCCUUGUCAAAAUCCAAAGCAUUUUAUUUAUUUAUUUAUUUAUUUAUUUAUUUAUUUAUUUAUUUAUUUAUUUAUUUAUUUAUUUAUUUAUGUCUUUAAAAAAAGAUCCAAUCCUUUCGCUGCUCAACAGCAGGGAGAUAGAACUUGUAGAGACCACUCCAAUUAACUCUCAAAUUAACCCAGAAUUGUUGCUGUCUAAAUAACAUCCAAGGACAAAAACUAGAGCAGAGACUGAAGGAAAGGCCAU